UGGAGGUAUCAGAAGUGCGAAUGCUGACAUAAGUAACGAUAAAGCGGGUGAAAAGCCCGCUCGCCGGAAGACCAAGGGUUCCUGUCCAACGUUAAUCGGGGCAGGGUGAGUCGACCCCUAAGGCGAGGCCGAAAGGCGUAGUCGAUGGGAAACAGGUUAAUAUUCCUGUACUUGGUGUUACUGCGAAGGGGGGACGGAGAAGGCUAUGUUGGCCGGGCGACGGUUGUCCCGGUUUAAGCGUGUAGGCUGGUUUUCCAGGCAAAUCCGGAAAAUCAAGGCUGAGGCGUGAUGACGAGGCACUACGGUGCUGAAGCAACAAAUGCCCUGCUUCCAGGAAAAGCCUCUAAGCAUCAGGUAACAUCAAAUCGUACCCCAAACCGACACAGGUGGUCAGGUAGAGAAUACCAAGGCGCUUGAGAGAACUCGGGUGAAGGAACUAGGCAAAAUGGUGCCGUAACUUCGGGAGAAGG
This 470-nucleotide ribosomal RNA is filed under the name Escherichia coli. Its description in RNAcentral is "partial 23S ribosomal RNA". It matches the Rfam family "Bacterial large subunit ribosomal RNA", at positions 1274 to 1746 of the family's 2925-position model. The record is from RNAcentral. Lineage: Bacteria; Pseudomonadati; Pseudomonadota; Gammaproteobacteria; Enterobacterales; Enterobacteriaceae.